GGUUUUAACCCAAGUUAACCAAGGUUAGCAUGGAUUUCGACCAUUCGAAAGAAUGCGUUGAACACAAAUAAAUUUUGGACAAGCUUCUUCGGGGUUAUCCGUUGAGGCGAA
Non-coding RNA from Caenorhabditis remanei, 111 nucleotides. Lineage: Eukaryota; Metazoa; Nematoda; Chromadorea; Rhabditida; Rhabditidae. The record is from Rfam.